UGGUCAAGUUAUUAAGGGUGCAGGGCGGAUGCCUUGGCACUAGGAGCCGAUGAAGGACGUGAUAAGCUGCGAUAAGCUUCGGGGAGUUGCACGUAAACUUUGAUCCGAAGAUUUCCGAAUGAGGAAACUCACUUAGAGUAAUGUCUAAGUAUCAUUAAGUGAAUACAUAGCUUAAUGAGGGGAACUCAGGGAACUGAAACAUCUAAGUACCUGAAGGAAGAGAAAGAAAUUCGAUUCCGUAAGUAGCGGCGAGCGAACGCGGAUUAGCCCAAACCAAUAAAGUUUUCUUUAUUGGGGUUGCGGACAUAUCAUAACGAAGAGGUAUCGUAAUUGAAGAGGUUUGGAAAGACCCACCACAGAAGGUAAUAGUCCUGUAUGUUAAACGAGAAGACUUUAGAUAUGAUCCAGAGUACCACGGGACACGUGAAACCCUGUGGGAAGCAGGAGGGACCACCCUCCAAGGCUAAAUACUACCUAGUGACCGAUAGCGUAUAGUACCGUGAGGGAAAGGUGAAAAGAACCCCGGGAGGGGAGUGAAAUAGAACCUGAAACCCUGCACUUACAAGCUGUGGAAGCACAUUUCUUGUGUGACCGCGUACUUUUUGUAGAACGGGCCAACGAGUUACGUUAAGUAGCAAGGUUAAGCACUUAAGGUGCGGAGCCGUAGCGAAAGCGAGUUUUAACUGAGCGUUCAGUUACUUGACGUAGACCCGAAACCGGGCGACCUACCCAUGAGCAGGAUGAAGCGAAAGUAAAAUUUCGUGGAGGUCCGAACCCACGAGCGUUGAAAAGCUCGGGGAUGACUUGUGGGUAGCGGUGAAAUUCCAAUCGAGCCCGGAGAUAGCUGGUUCUCCCCGAAAUAGCUUUAGGGCUAGCCUCAAGGUGAGAGAUACGGAGGUAGAGCACUGAAUGUCCUAGGGGGUAUUGCACCUACCGAAGACUAUCAAACUCCGAAUGCCGUCAUCUUAUACUUGGGAGUCAGACUGUGGGUGAUAAGAUUCAUAGUCGAAAGGGCAACAGCCCAGAUCGUCAGCUAAGGUCCCUAAAUGUAAGUUAAGUGGUAAAGGAUGUGGGAUUGCACAGACAACCAGGAUGUUGGCUUAGAAGCAGCCACUCAUUCAAAGAGUGCGUAAUAGCUCACUGGUCGAGUGAUCCUGCGCCGAAGAUUUCCGGGGCUAAAACUUACUACCGAAGCUACGGCAUCAGUAAUGAUGGGUAGGGGAGCUUCCCAUACGGGUUGAAGCAUGACCGUAAGGACAUGUGGACAGUAUGGGAGUGAGAAUGUUGGCAUGAGUAGCGAGAUGUGGGUGAGAAUCCCACAGGCCGUAAACCCAAGGUUUCCAGGGGAAGGUUCGUCCGCCCUGGGUUAGUCGGGACCUAAGCUGAGGCCGAAAGGCGUAGGUGAUGGACAACAGGUUGAUAUUCCUGUACUACCGAUAACCGUUUGAGAGAAGGGAUGACACAGUAGGAUAAGCUAAGCACACUGUUGGUUAUGUGUGCCCAAGCAUUGAGGCAGUCAAAGUAGGCAAAUCCGCUUUGAUAAUGCUGGGAUGUGAUGGGGAGCGAAAUUUAGUAGCGAAGUAGCUGAUUUCACACUGUCAAGAAAAGUCUCUAUCGAGGUUAAAGGUACCCGUACCGCAAACCGACACAGGUGGGUGAGGAGAGUAUCCUAAGGCCAGCGAGAGAACUGUUGUUAAGGAACUCGGCAAAAUGACCCCGUAACUUAGGGAUAAGGGGUGCCACCAUCAGGUGGCCGCAGAGAAUAGGCCCAAGCGACUGUUUACCAAAAACAUAGGUUUCUGCUAAGUCGCAAGACGAUGUAUAGGAGCUGACGCCUGCCCGGUGCUGGAAGGUUAAGGGGAUCUGUUAGAGCAAUCGAAGCAGUGAACUUAAGCCCCAGUAAACGGCGGCCGUAACUAUAACGGUCCUAAGGUAGCGAAAUUCCUUGUCGGGUAAGUUCCGACCCGCACGAAAGGCGUAACGAUUUGGGCACUGUCUCAACAACAGACUCGGUGAAAUUGUAAUUCCGGUGAAGAUGCCGGAUACCUGCGACAGGACGGAAAGACCCCAUGGAGCUUUACUGUAGCUUGACAUUGGGUCUUGGUACUACAUGUACAGGAUAGGUGGGAGGCUUUGAAACCAGGACGCCAGUUUUGGCGGAGCCAUCCUUGGGAUACCACCCUUGUAGUACUGGGACUCUAACCAUAGGCCAUGAAUCUGGUCUUGGGACACUGUCAGGUGGGCAGUUUGACUGGGGCGGUCGCCUCCCAAAAGGUAACGGAGGCGCUCAAAGGUUCUCUCAGUACGGUCGGAAAUCGUACGUAGAGUGUAAAGGCAAAAGAGAGCUUGAUUGCAAGACAUACAGGUCGAGCAAGGAUGAAAAUCGGACUUAGUGAUCCGGUGGUUCUGCGUGGAAGGGCCAUCGCUCAACGGAUAAAAGCUACCCUGGGGAUAACAGGCUUAUCUCCCCCAAGAGUCCACAUCGACGGGGAGGUUUGGCACCUCGAUGUCGGCUCAUCACAUCCUGGGGCUGUAGUAGGUCCCAAGGGUUGGGCUGUUCGCCCAUUAAAGUGGUACGCGAGCUGGGUUCAGAACGUCGUGAGACAGUUCGGUCCCUAUCCGUCGCAGGCGUAGGAAAUUUGAGAAGACCUGUCCUUAGUACGAGAGGACCGGGAUGGACGUACCUCUGGUGUACCAGUUGUUCUGCCAAGGGCAUGGCUGGGUAGCUGUGUACGGAAUGGAUAAGCGCUGAAAGCAUCUAAGCGCGAAGCCAACUUCAAGAUAAGAUUUCCCACCGCAAGGGUAAGACCCCAGAAAGACUAUCUGGUUGAUAGGUCGAAGGUGUAAGUGCAGCAAUGUAUUUAGCUUAUCGAUACUAAUAGGUCGAGGACUUGACCAAU
RNAcentral lists this ribosomal RNA (2900 nucleotides) under Clostridioides difficile. Its description in RNAcentral is "23S ribosomal RNA". It matches the Rfam family "Bacterial large subunit ribosomal RNA". Lineage: Bacteria; Bacillati; Bacillota; Clostridia; Peptostreptococcales; Peptostreptococcaceae. The record is from RNAcentral.